RNAcentral lists this long non-coding RNA (26748 nucleotides) under Fragaria vesca (wild strawberry). RNAcentral's name for it is "long non-coding RNA (FVES_LNC000065)". Lineage: Eukaryota; Viridiplantae; Streptophyta; Magnoliopsida; Rosales; Rosaceae. The record is from RNAcentral.
GUCGUUUUGAGUUGGAAAACAAAGGUGAGGGGAGGUGUGUUUUAUUUAUGGGGGAGGGUUUCUUUUUGGUUAAGUUAGCUUUGUAAGGGUAGGAGAUGGAUUAGAGGAUAAUGGGCACAUAUUAGGAAUUACUGCAAAUUUUAGGAUUUCUGUUCUUUUGUUUAAAUUGAAUUGCUAUUUUCUUAAGGAAGUUGCAAACAUGGAAUCCUUGUUGUGAGAUUAGUUAUUGGGGGGACAAUAAAAAUGAUAAUAUUUCAAAGGAAAAUACUUGUGUCCGGACUAGUAUAUACGUGCGUGUCCGGACUCUCUGUUAUUUACACACUUUUGGUAAUGUAAAUCAUAAUCUUAAGUGUUCAAAAAUUUGAUUAACUAAUAAAUAUCAUCUCUGUAAAAUAUCAGUGUAAAAAAAAUCGUUUGCUUAGCCGAAUGAAUCAAAUAAAUUGACGGCUAAUCAUGAGGCUGUUAACUUUCACCAUAAGUAUUCAUUUGUUUAAUACAAUCGGGUGAGCAAACGAAUUUUGUUUACAUUAAUUUUUCACAGAGAUAAUCUUUAUUGGUUAAUCCAACUUUCGAACUGUUAAAAUUAUGAUUUACAUUGUCGAAAGUAUGUAAAUAACAGAGAAUCCGGAUGUACACGUACAUACUAGUCCACAAGUAUUUUUCUAUUUCAAAUUAGUGACACUCAAGAGACGAGGGAGAUUACUAGUUGACGAGGUUUAAGGUGAUAGUUUCAUGUGUCUCAUCUUAGAUUUCGACUAAGUUUCAUUAUUAUUCUCAAUGUUCACAGCUUUUAAAUUGCAUAUAGCUUUAAUAUGUGAAUCAUACACAUUUUCUAGUGUGUCGAUUGGUGAACAACACUCUUACAGAUUUCAUUAAAGAAUCGUUGCUCAUUUCAUUAUAGAAUAACAUGUAUCACUUCUCUUUGAAUCAUUUCGACUGUCGGCAUAAGUUUCAUUCUUUUUACAUGCUUCACAAUAAUAGUAUGAACAAGUAGACAAUUUAAGAGACCUGAACUGAAGGAGUUUGGGCUGCAUUGGACUACCUAAGAAAGCCCAUUGUUCAAUAGAAGGAAGGCCCAAGAGUGGAGCCUAUAUAAUUGAGAGCAUUGCCAAACAUGGUCUUUGCGCCUAGCCCUCUGUGUGAGUCUGUUCCUCUUUUUAACAUUUUUCUUUUAGAUUUCCAAAUUAGGUUUUCUCCUCUCUCUCUGUAAUUUCUCCUCACUAUUAGAUUUUGAUUCCACCAUUGUUGUUUUGAGGGUUAGGAGGUGUGGAUUUGUGUUUCAAACUCCUUAUUGAUAUUUCGUCUUCCCACCUGUUUCCAAAUACCGCCAAAUUUUUCUAUCUCCGCAUAAAAAAAUCCCCAAAUUGAGAAGAACAAAAGCUUUGAUUUUUAGGGCAAUCUAACACAAUUAGGGUUAGGGUUUCAAUCUCAUAAGUACAGAUCACGAAAAAGAAAGCAUCUUUUUUUAGUUUUUGUUUUUGGGCUUUCGAUUAGAUAUGGAGAAGAAGAAGGUGGCUGUGCCUCUGGUUUGCCACGGCCAUUCCCGGCCGGUGGUGGAUCUGUUUUACAGUCCGGUCACUCCCGAUGGCUUCUUCCUCAUCAGUGCCAGCAAGGGUAUGUGUUCCGAUAUCGAAAGAUUCGAUCUUUUUUCGUGUGUUUGGAUUGAAUUACAUGCUUUGGGUGGUUCUAUUUUACUCUGUACAAUGCUGCGUAUAUGUAUAUGUGUAUGAUUGGGGUUUUGUUUCGUGAUAACUUAUGUAGAUUGGUUUGAAAUCGUAAUGGAGGGAUGUUUUGACUAGUCUUUGUGAUAGUAAGUUAUGGUAGAUUAAGUAAACUUGCAAUGGGAUAUGUUCUUAGGAUAUAUAGUCCAGCUGAAAGGAAAUGUUUUGGAUCAGUGGUUUCAUGUCACGUUUAGAAACCUUAGAGCUACUAGAAGUUGAACAUUUAUUGCACUAUCAGUGUACUCAACAGUAGUGAUUUUGGGAUAUUGACGAAUAAGGUGUAUUGAGUAUAUGAGGUGUUAAGAUCAUUGUUGUGUUGUUGCUCUUUAAUGGGUUGCGAUUGGAAAUCUUCUUUAAUCUGUGUAAGUUAUUUAGAUAGCGAACUGAUAUAGAAGUUUUUGAUGCUUGUGUUGUUAGAUUCUAGUCCCAUGCUGAGAAAUGGUGAGACUGGAGAUUGGAUUGGAACCUUCGAAGGACAUAAGGGUGCAGUCUGGAGCUGCUGUUUGGAUACUAAUGCCCUAAGGGCUGCCACCGCUUCCGCAGAUUUCUCUGCGUAUGGAUUUAUCUUUUGAUUUCCCAGAUUUCUCUGCGAGUUGAAAAUGAAAACCUUAAUUCUGUUUCUUAAGUAUGUUAUUUUUGCAUGCAGUAAAGUUUGGGAUGCGUUAACAGGAGAUGUUCUACACUCUUUUGAACAUAAGCACAUUGUUCGAGCAUGUGCGUUUUCAGAGGUAAGCUCCUGUUCUUGACCUAACAGCUCUGUAGAAGUGAAAUAAACUUACAGAGUAAUCAUACAAACUGUGCUCUUUCCAUUUUCUGUAGUGUUAUCUGCUUGAAAUGUCAUGCUAAAUGUGAUAAUGUUGAAUAUUAUGUGUAAUCGACUGUGUUAAAUUCAUUUGGAGUAGCUAUCUGCCUACCUCUAAUUUGAAAAUGAUUUCCUAGUGGUUUAUGUGCUAUAUUAAGAGGGAUUCUAAUAUAGUGGUAGACUUUGAAUAUUUCUUUGGGGCUUAGUUGUUUGUUACACAUCAGCCACUAAAGUUCAUGAUAAUAUUUUGAAUCCAUCAUAGUUGGUGCAGGUUUUAAUUUCAACAGUAUAUGAGAUUUUAUGCUGGAGUUCUCCUAUAUGCCAUGCCUUUUCUUAUUUUCUUGUAUCAUAAUUCUAUUCUCUUGAUUUGGUAAUAGGAUACACACCUUUUGUUAACUGGAGGAGUAGAGAAAGUUAUCCGUAUAUACGACUUGAACAGACCAGAUGCCCCUCCAAGAGAAGUGGACAAAUCCCCUGGUUCAGUUAGAACUGCUGCAUGGCUCCACAGUGAUCAGACCAUAUUAAGUUCUUGCACUGAUAUGGGCGGUGUCAGGUAUACAUUUAUAUGAAAAUAAUUGAUGUUAUGAGGACUCAAUUGUUCUAUAUUAAGUUGCACAUAUUUCGUACUAUAAAGUGACGGGUAGUGAUUGACUGAUUGGUGAAUGUGCAGAUUGUGGGAUGUAAGAACUGGGAAAAUAGUUCAAACACUUGAUACCAAGUCAUCUGUAACAAGCUCUGAAGUCAGUCAAGAUGGUCGAUACAUCACCACUGCUGAUGGGUCUACAGUCAAGUUCUGGGAUGCAAAUUAGUAAGUUAUGAGUUAGAAUGUUCAGUAUUUUUCAGAGUUUCUGCUCAGUUAGCUUAUGCCUUUUACUUGCUUUCAGCUUUGGGUUGGUGAAGAGCUACAACAUGCCUUGCACAGUAGAAUCAGUGUCCCUGGAACCCAAGUUUGGGAAUAAGUUCAUUGCUGGUGGAGAAGACAUGUGGGUUCAUGUUUUCGAUUUCCAUACUGGUGAUGAGAUCGGUAAGUAAACUAUAACAAAAUACUUUUCUUAUUGAAUCUUCUUUGGGGUGGAUGUUGUGUGUUAAUGUCCUUGGAUUUUAUGCUGUAUUUCCAAUGCUGAAUCUUUACUCAAGCUAUUGUAUCUUGAUGCAGCCUGCAACAAGGGUCACCACGGUCCAGUGCACUGCGUUCGAUUUUCUCCAGGAGGAGAGUCCUACGCCUCUGGGUCCGAAGACGGCACCAUCCGAAUAUGGCAGACAGGCCCUUUGACUAAUGAAGAAAGUGAGGCGCAGGCAGCAAAUGGAGCUAUCGGAAAGGUGAAGCCACCCGUGGAAGAGGUCUCUCGAAAGAUUGAGGGCUUCCAAAUCUCCGACGAGGGCAAGUCCAAAGAGAAGGAAGAGGCACCGUCAGCAGCCACAGCAUCGGUGAAUGUGUGACUUUGUUCAGAGUGUCUGUCCAGAGAGUGUAUUAGCCGUUGCCCGGCACAAGUUCAGAUCUAUUCCUGGUUAAAGUACUACUUGGGUUACAUAGACAGAUGGAAACAAAUUUUUUGUACAACUUUCACUUCUGCAUUGUCGAGAUAUAUAGACUAUGUUCUUGUUACUGCUUGUUCAGACUACCUUAUAAAUGGAACUUUUCAGCUUCUUCUGGUUUAUAUUUCCUUCUAAGAAUAUGGAUCAUAACAUAUCAACAUAGCCUAAAAAUCAAUCCUUAAUUCCUAACUAGCUGACAAAGGAAGAGCAGAAUGCCAUGCUUGAAAUUAGGAUUGUAGUCUCAUUUGUGACAAUCCUAUGUGUUCAUAAUUUAAAGUUGGGCAAAUGUCAAUUUAGUACUAAUUUUAAUCAUUCAUUGUCAAAGUUGGGCAAAUGUCAAUUUAGUACUAUUCCAACGACAAUAUGUUUUAUGAGCCUAUUUGAAACCUUUUUAUGCUUAAAUAGUCAAAUUUUUAUUAAAGUCUAUUAGACUAUUUUAACAAAUUAUAUUAUUUUGAGACUAUAUUACUUCCACCGCUUAAACAUGCAUUGAGAGAAAAGACUUCACCGGAACCUCAGACUUUGGCAACUGGCCACCAGACUCCUGUCAUCGGAAUUUCUCCGGUCACCGGUAACUUGGUUACUAACCCCAGUAACUUGAUUACUGAUCCCCAAUAACUCAUAUAUUUCCCAGUCGCCGGAUUUCGGUCAUCGUAACUCGGUUACUGACCCCUAAUAAUUAGUUAGUGACGGCCUUGAACUAUUACAAUGUCACAAGUGGUUUUUUAGUAUCUUCUAAUACCUCAAUUACCAAUUAUCUUAAAAAUAAAAUCGUUUACAUCCCACCAAACUGGGAAACAUGGAAGAAGAAAUUUAUGUCCAUAGCCACUAGCUUUGUGAUAUCACACACUACAAUCACGUAUAUAUACCCACAAAAUGAGCUUCGCAUUGGGAUAUUGUCACCUACAUGUUGUGACUUGUGACUUGUGUGGAACUGUUUCGGCAUGACCACUUCCCUCUUUCAUACCCUGCCUUCUACUUUGGAUACCAUCAUAAGGCGAAACCAAAAAUUUUAAUCGAAGGGAGCUAAUGUUAGCUUGUGCUGUCAAGUUCAUCAUUUCAUAUAAAGCUUAAUUUUCUACAACCAUGACUUCGAUGACUCUAACUCUAUGAAUGUGUAGCUGUUUUAAUUUUUAUAUAUUUGUAUUUUGAAGAGAUAAUUAGCUGUUUUUGAAAGCUAUACUAUGGAGAUUGUGAGGUCGCUGCAACCAAUUUUCUGGGCAAAAGGUUCUUAAACUGCCUUUCCGCUUCAAGUCAUUUAGGCCAUUUGCUGAGGUGCACUUAUUCUAAACUAAUACUAUAUUAAUCAUUGGAGCUCAGUUUAAAUUCAUUAGAAUGUAUAUGGCUCUCUUUGUAAACCAAACAUUCACAAGUAACAAUUUUACGAUCAACAUUGUCAUGUGGUGGUUCAGGUCAAUAACAACACUGACAUGAGACUCGUACUAGAAGAUGGAUGGAUCGGCUUCAUUCUCAAUUUUCAUGCCAUAUACAUGCAAAUGCAUUUUAAGGUUGUUAGCCAUAGCUAGUACUGCACUACAAUAAUUGAUAUAGCUACCUGAUAACAGCAAAGCCACUGUGGAAUACAUCGUGUUUCCAAUUGGGUCAGAUUAUCAGUCACUACUGAACACGUUUAAUUUGCAUCUUUCGCCCAUUUCCUCACCAAUUCAGGAGACUUGACUUGUUUACAUCGUUUUGAGAAAUUAAAAUGUUUCUCACGCUCGCACAUAAAACAAGAUUCAUGUCAUAUCGAUUUACUGUAGGAGAUGAAUAUCAAAUAGUCGAUGGAUUCAUUGAACUAUUUGACGACUCGAUUUUCAUGACACAUAUAUGCAUGUGGCGGUCGCUAGUACUUGUACCUUUCUUGGUCUGGCUUAUUGAGCUCUUGUAGACAUUUUACUAUAAAUACCAAAGAAACGGAAGCAUUUCAACUCAUACUACUACCCAGCCACUUAAUCAAACCUCUCAUAUAAUUUAGCCACAUUGAACUAUGUCUCUCACCUCCGUCAUUUUAGCUUCCCAAUCCCCUCAAACCCUGAAUAAUGCCGAUACUCGACGUUCGGCUAAAUACCAUCCCAGUAUUUGGGGAGAUCGGUUUCUGUCUUAUAACAACACUAUGGUUUGUACAUCCUCGACAUUUAGCAUACAUCUGUUACAUUUUGUUAUCUGCAUGUCUGAGCCUUAUCGAUGUAUGUAUUAAUUUGUUUCUUUAACUGGCUUGUAUGUAGGAAACUAACAUGCAAGGUAAGCAACAAGUAAUCCAACAACUGAAGGAAGAAGUGAAGAGGAUGCUGAUGGCUCCGCCGGUUGAAACUGGUUUGGGAAAACUGGAGUUGAUUGAUGACAUUCAACGCUUAGGCGUGUCUUACCACUUCGAAUACGAGAUUGACCAAACUAUGCAGCAAAUUCACGAAAACCUUAAUGGCACCUAUGAUGAUGAUGACUUGCACACUUGUGCUCUUCGUUUUCGCUUGCUAAGGCAGCAUGGUUAUAAUGUUUCUUGUGGUAAUUGAGAUCUCGACAAUCCUAUUCAUUCAUUUUAUUUUGUUUUAAAUAAGGCUAAUUUUGAUGCAUUGGCAUAUGAAUAAUUAAGCAGAUAUGUUCAACAAGUUCAAAGAUUGUGAUGGGAAAUUCGACGAAUCGCUUCACCACGAUGUAGCAGGACUCCAAAGCUUGUACGAAGCCACACAUCUUAGGGUGCGAGGAGAGGAUUUUCUAGAAGAAGCACUAGCCUUCACAACCACACAUCUACAGUCGGCAGCAAAUCGUUUGAGCCCCCCGCUUUCGAAACAAGUAAGGCAUGCCUUGAAUCAGCCACUUCGGAAGGGCUUACCGAGGCUAGAAGCGAGGCACUACAUGUCUCUUCACCAGGAACUGCAUGGAUCACGUAACCAUGUUUUGCUGAGAUUUGCAAAGCUGGAUUUCAACCUGCUCCAACAAGUGCAUCAGAAAGAACUAAGUGAUAUUGCAAGGUUGAUACUAUCUGUUACCACACACAUUAGAUAGGCACCAGACAUGAAAAUUAACGUUACAUUUUUUCUCCAAUUAAUUAGAUAAAUAUGUGUGAUCAUCACUAAUUAUGUGAUUCAUCAGGUGGUGGAAGAAGUUGGACUUUGCUAGCAAGCUUCCUUUUGCAAGAGACAGAGUGAUUGAGUGCUACUUCUGGAUUUUGGGUGUCUACUUUGAACCCAAGUAUUACUUUGCUAGGAGAACCCUUACCAAAGUUAUUGCCAUGACAUCCAUUAUUGAUGACAUUUACGAUGUGUAUGGCACUCUUGAAGAACUAGAUCUCUUUACUAGAGCAAUUGAGAGGUUUGAAAUUGAUAUAUAUUUUUCUUCCCUUAUAUUAUAUUCUCAAUUUAUUCCGGACUUAAGCUUCACCACUUACCAUCGCCGUUCGUCUUCUUAUUUGCAGAUGGGACAUCUCAGCCAUGGAUGUACUGCCGGAGUAUAUGAAAUUCUGUUACGAGGCACUCUUAGAUGUUUAUGCUGAAGCAGAACAGGGGCUUGCAAGCGAGGGAAAAUCAUACCGUAUCGAUUAUGCAAAAGAAGCGGUAAUUAGUUAAUUAAGCCUCAAUUUUGCGUUUAGUAUUGUGAUUCCAAAGGUCGUUGAAGGUUAAGUAACAGUUGAUUUGCUGCAUAUAUGUCAUAGAUGAAGAGACAAGUUAGGGCAUACCAUGCUGAAGCCAAAUGGUUCCACAACAACUACACACCAACAAUGGACGAAUACAUGGAAGUAGCCCUCGUCACUUCAGCCUACUCAAUGCUAGCAACCACAUCCUUUGUUGGAAUGGGAGAUAUUGUUACUAAAGACUCUUUCGAGUGGAUCUUCAGUGACCCUAAGAUGGUAAAGGCUUCAGCAGUAGUUUGCAGACUCAUGGAUGACAUUGUAUCCCACAAGGUACUUGAAUUUGCUGCAGUAGAAAUUAUAUAUCUUAAAACACUUCCUUAGCUAAUUCUGACCUUAAUGUUCUUGGCAUGGCUAUACAGUUUGAGCAAAAGAGAGGACAUGUUGCUUCGGCCGUGGAAUGCUACAUGAUACAAUACGGUGCGACAGAAGAAGAAACCAUAAUCGAAUUUCGAAAACAAGUGAGUGAUGCAUGGAAGGACAUAAAUGAAGAGUGCCUCCACCCUACCUCUGUCAACAUGCCUCUCUUGAUGCGAGUUCUGAAUCUCACACGCGUGAUAGAUGUACUGUACAAGUCUGAAGAUGGCUACACUCAUGCUGGAACCAUACUCAAAGAUUUUGUAGCAUCUCUACUGGUAGAUCCUGUGACUGUAUAAGUGAAAACUGGGAACCUUUGUUUUAGUUCUUACAAGAUGUUUGAACUUAGUAUUGGAGUUGCAGGAGUGUAAUGUCAAAAGCAAUCCUUGUAAUCCCAACCUUUGUACGUUGGGAUCUAAUAUGUGGGUCUUAUUUUUUCAGUUGCAACUUUGAUAGUUCAUCUAAUAACGGAAAAGAAAUUCAAAGUCAUUUUGAUAAAGUAGUCUGGGGUUCACAUCCAAAACCAAUUGGCCAUGGGUGGAGUGGCCUAAACCCUUAUAAAUUCACAGGCAAGGUCCCAUAUUCCCGAUGUGGGAUUCAUAUCUCAACACAUUUUCUUUGAAUACGAACCUUUGACUUUGACAGAACAAUACGAACUCGAGCUUGUCCACGCUGAAAUCCUCCGUUGUCCACCUGCAAAACUCAAGUUAUUUUUCAUGUGUGGACUUAUUGUUGUCAGCAUGUACUUUUUCUGAGUUGGUCUUGAUUAAGUUCAUUUGGAAAUGGAAAAAUAGAAUAAGAGAUUCCGUGUAAGCAUAAGAGCUUAUGGACCACCAAAGCAUACUAGGAUAUGUAGUAAUUGGUUUUGAAUAAGAACUUAACAAGUGAGAAUAGAUAUGGAUAUGGAUCUUAGUAAAUAAACUAGACAAUAGAUCCAGCCGCGCCCUGCUGUGAUUCAAUAAUUCGAUUACUUCGGUCACUGGUUCAUAAAGAGUUCAUUCGAAAUUGUGUUUACUUUUGUUUACCUUUCCUAUACAAAUUUCAUCUACUGAUAUCCGUAGGAAAAACAGACUUGUUAGAAUCUAAAAUUAAGAUUCUCAAAAUGACUGGAGAGACUGUACCACAUGUCAAUGAAAUAAACAACUCAAAUCUCAUCAAAACCAUUUAAAUCAAGGCCAUGUUAGUCUCUUAAAAAAGAAUUUGAUCACUUGUCUUGCUAUUUGUUUAUAUGUUGAAGCAAAAUUUACGAUUAAGUUACGAAUGCUUAUCUAAGACCCUAAAACAUGGUUACUGCCAACACAAACUAACAUAUUCAAAAGAGCAUAUCAAAUGGUAGCUGCACAUUAGAAUUUGAGGGCUGAUCUACUUGUAAAUUUCAGUUCACUAAGUAUUCAAAUCCCUAGUAUUUUGGAAAAAUGCAUCUGAAAAGCCAAGAAUAAAAACCUAUCAAAAAACUUGAUAGAAGGAGAGGGCAAUGACCUCAAAAUAAGGGUAGAAUCCCACUCUCACCAUUGACUGAACUCUUGGGAUAGUAGAUUCUCACUGAGCUUUCUACUUUGUGACUGCUACUCCAUAUUCAACCUCCAUUCUGCAAAUUCAUGAGCGACUUUCAUAUGUUCUUGCUGCAGAGAAUAAUUGAGUUUAUAGUUAAAAUCAGAGUGACCAAGAAGUCGAUAAGGACAACAUAAUAAUUUUCUAAUGAAAAAAGGAUGUUUACCUUAGCAUUUUACUCUCAGAGGGAUCCUUUUCCUCCAUAAUUUGGAGAAGACCUUGCCACCAAACCAGCUCAGUUGCCAUUAGCUACAGUAACAGAAUCACAUUCCAAUGCUCCCAAUUCUAAGCAGAUGUUAAUGGAUAAAAGCAGUCGUCCACCAGCACUGACAAACAUGCAUACAAAUAGAAUAAGGGCAAGAAAAAAAAAGUCAAACAGCGAAUUCCAGCCAUCACAUUCUUAAACUCCCUUUUAACAAAAUGACCACCUUUUCCCCUCAAUCAAUACCUAAGACCAAAAUCAUGUAAUUUUCUACGGUAUGUGAUACCACCACAAAACAUAAAUCUAAAUACCUUGAUGUCAAUAUAAGCUACUGUUCAAUAAAUGAGGCUGCAGCUGCCAACCGAAAUAGAACCAACCACACAGCAAGUAGCAUACCAACAAAUACUACAAUCACAGGCACACAAAUUAAAAAUUCAUAAAACAUAAAUAUCCUUUAGGUAACCAAACAUGAAAUACAAAUGUCACAAAACAGAGAUUUAGGAUCAUUGCCAGAAACAAAAAUCAUGUAAAAAACAAUCACAGAACACAACUUGCAGACAGAAUACCAACACAUACAACAGAUGGAUCGCAUCUUUUAGGAUCCUCAACAUGUAUAACCCAAUUUAUCAUUACCCAGAAACAAAAAGCGUCACUGCACCGUACCACCACAACAGUUAAUAGCUACAAAAACCUUUAGGUUCUAAUAAGCCAAUUUUGUUCUCAAUAGACAAUUAGAACAUGACGUCGCUAUGCUUCCAUAGUUCCAAAUGCAUAAAGUAUGCCAGGAGAACAUCCCAACUUGAAUUUUGUGGCCACAAAAUUUAGCGAAGAGAAAAAACUGCUAGCUUUCUAUAUACACACACACAACAUCAGGUUAUGCAUAUAAUCGCUUGCCAAUCAAAAAUUGUAGAAGAAAUUUUGCUAAAAUUGUAAGGAGGUGUGUAUGCCUUAGUAUAAUAAGGAACCCGACACACUUGACCAUAAAGCAUAAGCUCACAUCAGAUUCCAGAAACGCAAACAAUCCAUUGACAGAACAAUUGUUAUAUAAAUGUACAAAGAUAUCACCCACUGCUGAAAAGAUAACAACUGAACUUUGGUAUUAUAUUCAAUAUUUGAAUGUACUGGCAACUUCACAUGCAUCCCAUCUCUUUUCAUUUCAUUGUUAACCUUUAAUUUCCUACAAACCAUGAAACCAUAACGAAAGCAUGGAUGGUAGCAAAAUAACUUAUUGAUGAGCACCGAAGAUCAGAUGCUCACCACGAUUUAUCUAGCUUAUCGAAGAAGUACAAACCUUCCAGAUCAGUAAUACACACAUAGAAGAAUAACUCCACAAAAUUUCAAGUCAAAACGGAUUCUUACAUCCUAAUCAAACUCGAGUUCAAAACAGCAACACUGCAUAACAUAGACACAAUUUCAGCAUAGAGCACUCAACUUCAGAAAAUCACUACAAAGCGCCUACCCUAUCAAAUAGUAUCAAACUUUCUAGAUCAAGAGUUCACAUAUGGAAGAAAAAGAGUACAAAGUUUCAGAGCAAAUGGAGUCCUAAAUCUUGAUCAAAAUCAGACUCAAAAACAGCUGCACACAUAACACGAAUACAAUUUCAAACAUGUGAACAAAGUACAAUGAAGAAAGAUGUAUACACUGUUCCUUGUCCAACCCAUUUUGCCCCGCAGCAUAAUAGGAAAGCCAUGUGCAGUACUUUUUAGUUUGGAUAAGUUUAUGCCACACAUCAUAAUCCUUUUAUUUUAAGGAUCCUCUUCAUCGAUGUAGAAUCAUGUAUCAAUUCAAUCCAAUUCGAUCAAUUCAAUCUUAUUAGUGUUUAACAUGCAUCCACAUCCACAUCAAAGCCAAAAAUUGAAACCUUGAAAUGAAUAAUGAACCCCUCCUCUUCAUUGAUGUAGAAUCGUUGAGCUUCUGAAGCUCAUAACCUGCAAAAUCACCUUGUUCUUGUUGCCAAACCCAAAUUAAUUUUCAUCAGUCCCUCUCUAUCAGUAAGACACCGUAGUGGAAAGAAAAACAGUCGCACAGUGCGACGAAAAAUAGUAUGUUAAAUCCUCAUUGGACUAAUUGGAUAUGGUCAACUUAACCUUUUGGAUCAGAAUACAAAUAGAACACAAAAACCAUGGGUCGGUGGUAUUGUAAAUUGAAAGAAAAUAGAGGGGUAUAUAAGUCAAAGUGGGGGUGAAUAAGUACCCAAUGUAUCUAACCAUCCAUCCAUCCAAACCAUUAUUUUUUCUCUCUCUAAAAAUAUCUGGUUUUCUCUCUCUAGAGAGGUCUCUGUAAAUCGUCUGAAUCAAAAAGAUCAAAUCUUUGGGUUUAGUUUUUUUUUUUUUUUUCGCGGGAAGAGAUGUCAGGUAAAGGCGCCAAGGGUUUGAUUCAUGGCAAAGGAGCCAGCAACAGCAAAGAUAAGGACAAGAAGAAACCCACCUCCCGAUCCUCACGAGCUGGCCUUCAGGUGAUUACCUUUGCUUCUUUGUUCUUGUUUUUUCUUGAUUUUGGGAUUUUAGGGUUUCGAAUUUGAUUGUUGAGGUUGAGUUUGGGGGGUUUAAUUUGGUAAAGAUUGGAACUUUUUUUGGUUUUGGUAUUGGGUUUUGGUUUGUUUUGGUGAUGAGAAAGCGAAUUAGAAUACCCACAUGGGUUUGGGAACUUAAAAGAUUUAGUUUUUACGGAUGAAUAAUAGUUGUUGAAUUGAGAGUUGAUUUGGAUCGUUUUGGAAGGGCAUGAUUUUGUGUUUUUUCCUUAAACCAUGUUUGUUAGGAGAACCAUAAUCCGAUUGAAGAGUUUGAACUUGAUAGAGAUUUGAUAGAUAGAUACAUUGGAGGGGUGAAUUUUGAAGUUUGAAGUGUCUCGCUCCUCUGGAACAUGCUCUAUUCUAGAUUGUUGUUUACAUUAUGAAUUUUCAGGGUAUAACUGUUUCGAUAAGAUUGUGGAUGUCUAGAAGACUAGAAUAGACUAUGCUUGCUCUAUGUGUCUUGGUAAACAUGAUUGAGUCUUCCUACUCAUAGUAAACAGUUUAAAGUUUCUAAAAGUCCUACCUGAAUCUGUUAGAGAAGUACCAGCUAUACAAUAGAAAUAAUUUCGGUAUAUGAUGUUGAUUACAUAAGUUGUUGGAAUGAUGAUAAACCUACUUAUUUAUAUGAUGUUAGAGACGGAGGAUCCUAAUUAGAUACCUGCAAUCUCCCAAUUAUUAACUUUCAUGAAUAGACUCUCUAGUGGUGAGGGAACGAAGGGUUUGAAUGUAAGAAAGUAGAAACUUCUUAAGACUUUCAUUUAAAAACAUAGCUUCAGCCGUAUGUUAUGAACUUCCAAAGUGUUUCUCUGUCUCACUUUUUGUCCAUUAUUUUCAAGUCAGUUUAUGGACUAUACUAGAGUUGUUGAAUUUCUGCCAUCUACUAAUUCUGUGGUGACAAAUUUCUAGUUCCCGGUGGGUCGUAUCCACCGUCUCCUGAAGCAAAGGACCACAGCUAAUGGGAGAGUGGGAGCGACUGCUGCAGUUUAUUCUGCAGCUAUCUUGGAGUAUCUAACUGCUGAAGUUUUAGAGUUGGCAGGCAAUGCCAGCAAAGAUCUGAAGGUGAAGCGUAUCACUCCCAGGCAUUUGCAGCUUGCAAUCCGUGGUGACGAAGAACUUGAUACUCUGAUAAAAGGUACCAUUGCUGGUGGAGGUGUCAUCCCUCACAUUCACAAGUCACUUAUCAACAAGUCCACCAAGGAGUAAUGAUGAGGGCCAAAAUUCUAUGAGGAGACUCUCCUUUGUGACUUAGGAUCAUGUGUUUUAGUAAUUCGUUAUUUUGCUAGUUAAUUUUCAUGUCUGAUAGUAUUUGUAAUGGAUAAUGGGAUCAGAAACUCUUCUUUUUUAUUAUUAAUCUAGGCUUACUCUAGGAACCCUGUCAUAAUGUCGUAUUGCAUCCCUGGUAUUAAAGGCGUGUUUGAGCUACAAUUGUUGUUUUUCUACCAUUCUAUUUUACAUGAAUUCAGUUGAUGAUGGCAUAACUGCUCUCAAUCGAAGAUGCGGUUCUUUUUAUGCUGCAAGGUGAAAGGUCUAUCUUCAUGUUAUUGACAUAUGUUUACUCGAGUAGUUUCCAUGAAUCAUCAACAGCAGUCAUUUGUGAAAGAAGAUGGGAACAGGUUUUAGUUCCAACAACCUAUUAAAGAUCUGAAAGGCGCGAAUUCAAUUGAAUACUCAUAAAUCCAUGUCCUUCUCAAUAUUCACUGCACAUUCCUCUUAAUCAAUACAGAUAAACAACCAUUAGCAUUAGUAAAUAAGUGAAAAAUUUCCUGCACUCCAACCUAAAACCACCAAAUAAUCUGCGCUAGAAGCAAUGAAAGUCCUUCCUAGAACCUUAAACAUGGAAAAGAACGAAAACCAAUUCUAAACUUCUCAUUAAGAAAAAAUAUCUAGCAAAAGCCACCAAAAUGGUAGUGGCGUAAGAAUGGGGACGACCAACUUAGAAAUUUAGAAGGUUGUCACUCUUGGAACAUCAACUGGGAACUGAUCAAUUUCAGCCAUCCACGGGCUCUUUUCCUUGGCAGGAUCUAUAGUCUUGAGAGCUUUCCACACAGCACUGUUACACUUGAAUCCCGACCCGAAAGCUAUCUGCCAUGUUCUAUCUCCUUUCUUAAUCCUUCCCUUUGCUUCUGUGUAAGCUAACUCAUACCAGAGAGAACUGCUUGAGGUGUUUCCAAAUCGGUAUAGUGUCAUCCUUGAUGGCUCCAUAUGCCAAUCAGACAGAUGCAGGUUCUUCUCCAAUUCAUCCAAGACGGCUCUUCCCCCAGCAUGAAUGCAGAAAUGGUCAAAAGCAAGUCUGAAAUCUGGGAUGUAAGGUUUGAUCUUCAUCUUGAACAGUUUCCUACCCACCAAUGUAGCAAAGAAAAGCAGCUGCUCGGACAUUGGAAGAACAAGAGGCCCCAGUGUGGUGAUAUUGGUCUUCAAAGCAUCACCUGCUACAGCCAUCAGGUCCUUCGAUAGUGUGACACCAAUAUGCCCAGCAUCAUCUUCUUCUUGAGUAACACAGCUAAAGCACUUGUCAUCAGCACCCUUGUGCGUGCGGACAGUAUGGACUAAUUGGUACUUGGACCUCCUUCUGUCUGAGUUUUUGUUUGAAAGAAGUAUAGCAGCCCCUCCCAUCCGGAAUAAGCAAUUUGAAACAAGCUUUGAACGAUCAUUGCCAAAGUACCAGUUCAAUGUAAUGUUCUCCAUGCUGAUAACCAGCGCAUAAGAGUUAGGAUGCACCUGAAGAAGCUUUUGAGCAAGAUCAAUUGAGAUGAGCCCCGCGCUACAUCCCAUUCCACCAAGAUUGUAGCUGACUAUAUUCCCUCGAAGCUGGUAAUGAUUGAUAACCAUGGCAGAAAGAGAUGGAGUUGGAUUGAACAAGCUGCAGUUGACAAUCAAGAUUCCGAUGUCCUUGGGUUUUACAGAUGUCUUGGCAAAUAGCUCGUCAAUGGCACCAUACAUCACUGCCUCAGCUUCUUUCCUGGCUUCUUUCAUUGACGGAUUUGGGGGAAUGUUAAGUACAGCCUCUGGAAGGUAUGUUGAAUCACCAAGGCCGGAUCUCUCAAGGAUCCUUCUCUGGAACUGUAGAUUCUCUUCUGUGAAUGUACCAGUCAUCGUAGACUGAUCCAUGAAAAUCUUUUUCGUGCAUUUUCGAGUUUCUUCUGGCUUGUAACAAGAAAAGUUAACAAGGUACACAGGGCGAGGGCGGGUAAGAAAGUAUACAGUGGAUAGGAACACCAGGAGGGUCGAGCAGAUGAUCACCGAAAUCAGGUUGUAUUGGAGAUGCUCCCAUAGAUCAUAUAGAUCUUGGAGCGAAAAUGUGGAGAGCUGGGCAGCAAUAACAAUGACAAGAGGGGAAAGGAAAAGGUACAUUCCAUGGGUGAUGAGAAUAUGGUAACCAAGCUUCACAUAUUUUAGCUUAAUGGAUUUUUUGAAGUCGGGGAGGUUCCUAUUGUUUGAGGGUCUAGAUGAUGGUGGGAUCAAUGGUGUAUCUGGUUUUGGUUCCGCCAUAUUUCCCUGAUAAACAUACAACACCUCUAAUCAGAUCAAAUGCACAACAAAAUCAUAAACCAAUGUAUUAAUAGAAAAUUAUAAUCACAGAAGAUGAACUACCAGAGACUAAAAAUUAAAUUAGUAAAGGGUGGUUUUCCAGAACAUAAAGGCAAAUUCCAAUAGCUUUUCAAUUGGCAUCCAACCAGAAAUGACUCUUGGAAAGCCAAUGGAGCUUUUCAAAAAAGAAGGUUGUCUAUUAUUUACAGCUACAUAUCACACUGAGAUAAUGAAAAGGCAGAAAGAACACCUAAUGGUCCCAAUCCAAGCACCAAUUCAAAAAUGGUGGAACAGAACAAAAGCUACACACUUUGAUCCUUACAAGUUGGAGCCAAAGUGCUAAACACAAUCCAAACACAACCCCAGAUCAGAUUUUUCCAAUAAAGAACACUUCUUUCCAAACAAAUCAGCAGAUUAACAAACAAUGUUACACAACCCUUAUAAACACUCACACAAAGAACCAAACUUUAUCACAGAAACCAUACAAAUUCACACAUCCAAGAACAGAUCAAACCUCCCAAGAUACAAAACAGAACGUUAUAGAAAAAAGCUGCAAGCUUUGAUAAUGAGGCAAAACCCAGAUCGAAGACUGACCUUGGUUGCCGAAACCCACCACCAGAUCUCACAGGAAUGUCGUCGUCGCCAGCCAAAGACAACCGGAGAGAAACAGGGCAAAAGGGAAUAUGGGAGAGGUUCAAAGUUUGAAGUGAGAUUAUAUUAGAGCUAAAAAUAGGGANNNNNNNNNNNNNNNNNNNNGGCAAAUGCAUUUGCAAUUUUGGGUUUUAGAUAUUUUCUUUCUUCUAUUUUGUGUGUGUUUUCAUUGCUUUUUUCUCAUUUAAGAGGUUGAGAAUAAAGAUGUAGGAAAUCAUUCUAGUGAAGACCCUUAAGUUGAGGAUUUGGUGAGGGCUUUUCGGUUUAUGGUUUAAAAUACCCAAUUUUCGAUCACAUGUUGACAUCUUAUCUGUUCAGUUUUUAGGUUUAUAUGAGUAGAUCAUUUCUACAAAUUUUCACCCAAAUUGGUGUUCAUUAAGAUAACAAACUAGAUCAAAUUAAUGGACGAACCAAAUCUGCCAAAUAUGAACCGUUCAAGUUCAUAAUUGAUAAAUCACACUUAUGAAUGUCUUAACAAUUUUCAAUAUAGCUGAAAAUUUGAAGAAAUGAUAUACUCAUAAAUACCUAUAAACUGAACGGUCAAUAUGUAGAUAUAAGAUCGAAAUGUGGGAUAAACCGAAAAGUCUUUACCAAGUCCUCAACUUAAGGGUCCUCACUAGAAGGGCUCCCUAAAGAUGUAUACCAAAAAGAUAUCAACUUCCAAGUCUGUGUACAUGAAUCAUGUGCCAAUAUUUGUGUGAUAUACAUCUUAUCGGGUUGCAUUAGCUUUCAAGGUCUCUAUGGAUUGUGAAUCGAAAUUUACUCUUAUACAGUUAGUUGUUAGAGUUUAUUGUCUCAUGAAAAUUGUAGCGUUCGAAAAGAUACCAUAAUUUCAUGUCUAGACCCGUUUGGAGAUUUACUACUAUGAAACUCGCAUUCAUCCAAAGUACAGAAAACUAAAAUUUAGAAAGAAAAAAAAAACACCCUCUAGCCUCUGGUUUAUAUGUGGAAAUAAUACCUCCAAUAUUCUUCCCUUUAAUUUUGCUUUUCAAAAUCAAGGUGACAAUACAAAUGGCAUGAUGAUUGGAAAAGAAAAUGUCAAAUUAUUCCCUCUUUGAAUAUGACAAGUGAGAUUGAAGAAGAGUAUAGUGAAAUACAACAAAAUCGAGCCGCCCAUUACAGUUAAGGAGCCGUCAAGAACAAAGCCAGAAGGCUUAUAUUAUAUUUGACUGGUAUACAAUUCAGUGAAUUGGUAAUGUUGUAUAGGGCAGGCAAUUUGAGGAGGGACCAAGCACGAGGUUGAUGACCAGUUGUUCACAUGGAUAUAAAGGUUACAACUCUGUCACUGUCCCUAUUGUCAGCUGCGCUGGCUCCACAUGCUAUGCUGUUCUUCAACUCAAUCCAUGAGCUAUAUCAUCUUCUAAUAACAGAAACAACAAACCAACUUCAACAAUGAAGAAAUUUCCAAGUCUGUCUGUUUAGCAAGAUUUGACAAACUGUUUUAUGAGGAAAUGGUGAGGGUGAGAUGGAAUCUGGGAGAGUUGAAAAGGAAAUGUUGCCAACAAAUUUAUCUUGUGGGGUUAAGUUGGCAUCAACCAUCAAGCAUAAUUCCACCUUUGAUCAAACUUGGUUAAAGAAAAGCAAACUCUAAUACAGGAAAAGAAAUCUUACAGUAGUAACUUGCUGUUGGAGAACAAUGAUAUGAGGGAAAGUUAGUUGAACAAUAGGCAAUGUUGAACAUGCUACUCCAAUGUGAAUUCCUCCAGCCAUAUCAGCACUUCAUUUCUCUAAAAUGCAGUCAGCACCAAAACAACACAAAAGAUCAACCGUUAGAGUGAAGAAAGCAAAAUUCGGUAGGAUUUGGCAAAAAGAGGACUAACAGUACAAAUAAAAGCUUAAUGAUCAAGAUUACUUGCUACUGGUUUUGCUUUGUCUAGAAGGCAGUAGAAGUAACAGCUACCAAGACUACUACAACUAGGGCUAGUAAUCAGGCCAAAGUCGAGUUCAACUUUUCUUGAAAGAGGGUUGCUUGCAGUACUCAUAGACCUUCAAUAUGUGAAAGGGUAGAUAUAUAUCUUGUAACUUAUUAGAUGAAGUUUCAACAGUUGAAAUUUUCUUAGUUGAGGUUUUCUUGAAAACAGGUUUUCUUGCAGUUAUUCCAGAGCUUCAAUGUCAAAGGUAGCUAGAUAUCUUCCAACUUCUUGGAUGAAGUUCCUAUAGUUGGAAUUUUCUUUGGUGAAGAAUUUUCCAUCUUGAAGUUUUCUUUGAUGAAGUUUUCUCCAUAUAUCAUAUAAAAUUAGAGAUAUAUAAGAACACAUUAUCAGACUGGUCACUGAUGUUACAUACCAUUAUAAAGCUCCAAGUUCGGCCAGGGUCAUUGUAACGAGCAAGCAUACACCCGGCCUUAGGUUUGAGACCAUCUCUGAUAAGACUAGCACGCAGCAAAUUCUCCUUUUCACGAACAACAUCUUCGGUAGGCUUCCCACUAAACUUGAUAACAGCAGCAAUGCCUUCUUCCAUUUUUUUCAAGCUAAUUGUUUCUGCAUUAGGAUCUGGUAAACUGGCCACAUCACAUUUUUCUUAUUAAUAUAUAACUCUUCACAAGGACAAAUGUAAGUACGAUAUAUAUCUAACAUCUAUUAAUUCUCCACCUGCUUAAAUCCUUGUCAAGUGGAAGACAUACUUUGAUGGAUACUUUGGAAAAUUCAGCAUCAGAUGCCUCAGUGAACACCGGAGUUGUCAUUGGUAUCUUUUCCAUUUUUGAGUUCUUUCCAAAGAUGUACCUAAGCAAAUCCCAUUUCCAUAUCACAAAAAGAAACAAAAUUUUUUUUUUUUAAAGAAAAUAUAUUUAUAGCACAUGAUUAGCUAAGCUGUAAUGCAAGCACUCACCCAGUAACAUCAUUGAAACCAGCUGAUCCAGACAGCUUGUCUGCACUUCCUUCUACCACUAUAAAAGGGGAGUACUUUCUUACCUGUAGAAUCAAUCCAGGAAUCACCAACAAAACAGUAAAACCAUCCAAUCAAAUAGAGUUACAGAAGAAAACAAAAACCUUCAAAUGUAAUGCAUUUCAUUCAUGAUUCAUCAACUUUAGAGAAUGAAGUCUAAAAGCCCAACUUUUAAUGAAUGCAACAUUAGCCAUUCACUAAGGAGAACACACCUCAUAAUUUGCUGUUCUCUUUAGUAUGUCAUAUUUUGGUGUUUCCAAGUCUGGAGUUUUGUAAAUCCUCAGCUGCAGGGUUUUACAUACAAGAAGAGACUAAGGCAAGAAAGAAUCUUUAUACAUGAUAAUGGAAAGUGUAUAAUGAGUCUGCCAAUACCUGCUUGAAUACAUCUAACAAACCUUCUACAGAAAAAUAGUCAUUCUUCUUAAUGGAAUCCCAGAAGUCCUACAUGUACAUUACAGCAGAUACAUGAACAAUUUUAGAAAUUACGCUGUAUCAUCUACAUUGUACUAUAAAGAGUCAUGAGGUGAAUGAUUGUUACCACAUGGCUGCAGAACUUCCCAGUUUCGGGGUUGAUUCCCAUAACAGAAGUACCAGUGAAGAUCAAUUCUGGUUUCCAAGGCAGAGGGACGAACUUCAUAACCAUAGUCCACCUUGUAGUGAUUUCAUAUGGUCCUGACUAUAUAGCAUCUUAAUCAGUAACUUAAGACAGUCCCACUCCAAUUUCAAGUGGACAUCCACAUGAAUAUGCACAGAUUGAAAACUUUAAACUAAAAGUUUGAGUCUGCACUCAAAUUUUAUUUCCUCAUAUUCAACAUAGUCACAUUAACCUCAUCCAACAUAUAUAUGCAGCUAUGCAUCAUCCAAAAUUCUAAGUUACAUAAUUUCAUUCUAUGAAAAUCAUUGAACUGCACCCAGUUAAAUUCUUAUAUUUAAUUACUCAAUGCCUAAAAUUCCCAAUAUUCUAGUAGUUAAUCUAAUAAGGGAAAGAACACAGGUCCUUUAAACAGUUACCUGUUUUACCCAGUGCAACUGGAACUUGGGAGUGAAGACUGUCUUCAAGAAGGCAAUGUUCAACAAAUAGCCAGUUAUAGAAUCAUGCUUGGUGAUUGGAUCCCUGAACUUCACACGUUCAUCAUACGCCGUCCGAUCAAUUCCUUGAUCAUCAAACAAGUGAACUAAAUCCUGGUACAGAAAAUCGACCACCCUUUCCAUGUCGACGGUUGAUUUUGGCGGGCUUUGGUCUACUAAGCUAAGUCUAACAGCCCACUUUGAGUAGUUUUGCCUUGUUUGAAGCCCCAAGUGUUUGUGUUUCAAGGCUUUGGAACGUGGAUGGCAUGGUAGUUUAUUCGCUUUGGUGGUGCUCAGCCGCCGUAAACUGACGCACACGGCGGGGAUAGGCCUGAAAACUUGGUCGGAAAGCUGUGUGCUAGCCAUUUGGUGGUUGUGGUGGGCGUGUGACUGUGUUGGCUUGGUGCGUGACCAUGCAUUGCUACUAUGAAACAACUUAGCCACAAGUAUUGAUUGGUUGGUGUUCGUUUCUGAAAUUAGUGGCUACAAUUUCUUCAUGUAAACAUAAUUGAAUAGUAGAACUCGUCGUUUGUAAAUACCUUAUGAAAAUGAUAAGGAGAAACACUAGUAUCAUUGUCCUGCAGAUAUGACUUUAAGCUAAAUUCUCCAUUCUAUGGUAGACUAGCACAGUAUUGCAGCACAAUUUCACACUCUCAGUACAAGACUUUACUGAUGAGAAACCCCUCUGUAUAUUUGGCCAUCCAUGAACUUCAAUAUCAUAACUAAUCCAAAACAUAAACACCAAAUAAGUGACCAUUUCCCAUCUCCUAAAUCACACAUUGUGCAGGAGAAAGAUGAAAUGAAGGGCAAGAUUCCUCCUGCCGUAAAUAAGUUGGAUAAGUGAGGGCAUCAAGGACUUUUUCAUUUGCUAAGAAAUUAAAAUGUAGCUGGCUUAGUAUAGAACCCUCUUGUUUCCCAGGGUUCUGACAGGAAUCACAGGAUUAAAUGGCAACAGCCCUCCCUCAGUCUCCCACUCUCAAGACUCCUCUUUCAGGAUGUGUGACGACGAGUGCUAUGAAGGUAAGUCUCUCUUGACCUCUGCAUCCACCUCUAAGCUUGGUUUGUCCAUUUCUAAUGUCAUCACAAAAUGGCUCGAAUCCCUACCCGAAGAAAUCAUACCCAACAUCCUAAUCACACUACCUGUCAAAUCCCUCAUCAGAUUCACCUCUGUCUGUAAAUCUUGGGAGUCCACCAUCAAAAACCCAAAAUUUAUCCACACCCACCUCACCCACACUCUCAAUUCCAAUGACCAAAACGACACCCACCUCAUUCUCUUCCACGAUGUUCAUAGUAAACAUUUCUGUCACUAUCCUAAGUACAAGAAGCCUCUUUCUCUCUGCAUUAUGAUUACACUGCUGCUGUUACUGAGUAUUGCAAGAUUGAGUUUCCAGUAGCUAUCAAGGAAGCAGUCAUGAAUGCUUUUCGUGUUGUGGGUACUUGUAAUGGGCUGGUUUUGCUGGCUGAUGAUUUGGAGGAUUACGGUUACACCUUUGUUGUAUGGAACCCUAGUAUAAGAAGGUAUGUGACCCUUCCCAAGUCCACUAUGAGGUUUUCGAGGCAAGGUACGUAUGUUGGUCCGGUUGGUCUGGGUUAUGAUGCUGUUGGUAAUGACUAUAAGGUUGUGAGACUUACCACCCUUUUUAAGAAAGAGAAUCCUUGUCGGCCUGAUAUUUGGCCCACUUCAGUUGAGGUUUAUUCACUCGCCAAGGGCAUUUGGAGCACGGUCAGUCCUCCUCAAUGUAUUGUUCUUCAUUACUCCGCUGCUCAGGUUUUCGUCAAUGGGGCACUUCACUGGAUGGCUAAGCAUUGCCAUUGGAUAGAUGAGAUGGUACAUAUAGACUCUUUCAUUUUGACAUUUGAUGUGGCUGCUGAGUCAUUUGGAGAGAUAAUGUUGCCCAAGGGCUUCGAAUCAGAGGAGGCACAGUUGUCUACGUUGUCUGAUUCUGGAGAUAGAAAUUCUAUUGCUCUGUUUGUGAGGAAUGAGGUUCCGGGUGCUUUUGGUCUUGAAUAUUGGGUAAUGAAAGAGUACAGUGAGGAGAAAUCAUGGACAAAGUUGAUGGUUUUUGGUCCACAUGAUCGGUGGAUAAAUGUACCCAGGGUAUUGUGUUUUAGGAGGAGUGGUGAAGUGAUGUUGUUACUUAAGGAUGGCCAUACAGUUUCACUUGACAUUGUGAGCGAAGAAUUUAAACAUCUAGGGAUGUAUGGAGGGGACCUUAGCUCUGUUCACUCUUAUGAAGAGAGCCUUGUCUUGCUUGAAAGGAAAGAUGUUGUUUCUUACUGAGGCAAUGAACCAAGUAAGGUGAUUAUUUCUUGAACUUACCUUUGCUGAUAGCUUCUAAUUUUAAUGCAUAUGCUGCUAAUUGUAUAUGAUCUAUGACGAUUGGAUUUUACCUCAGCCACAAAGUUUGAUAUUGUGUAUGCUGAUUGCUUUGAUUGCUCUGUGCGUCAUGUAUUAUAUUUUUUCUUUGCCACAAGUUUGUUGUUCGUGUCUUUCUGGUGUUUCGUUAGGAACUUGCUAUAAUAUUGUUUUAAAUGUUUUCCUGUCUUAGCUAAUUGUCUUUCUUGUUCUGUCGUUUUGAGAACAGAGACUAGUAACCAAGUUGAUUAGAAAUCAAGCAAACCAACUUCAGAACAAUUCGCUGUACUUUAUGUUUGGAAAACAAGACUUAAAUGAGUAACUACUCAUAUCAUAUCAUUGCUUUCUCCGUGUUUUCUAUAAUAUCUGUUUGGUAUUACCUUAGACAGUAGAGUGUGGUCUCCAAGGAACUGUUGAGGCUACUGCAUUGUAUUUGAAAUUACAUGUUUUUAUUUGCUGUUGUUAACUGACCAUAUUAUCUCUGUCGAUGAUGUGUACUUGUCACUUUGAAUCGUUCCCAACCAACCAUAUUAUCUGGUCGAUUGAUUUGUUAGUUUUUGAUGACUACUUGUUACUUUUAAUAUGAAUAUGGCACAAAUCAUGCUAUUUGAUUUUCUAUUUGCAUAGGCAGCAUCAUAUGAAAGCUGAUGAAAUGUGGGAUACCAAAAUUAAGACCGAGUAAUAGUUGCAACUUUCUACUCUAAUUUCUGUAGAUUUUCUUUGUUUAUCAAUAUUUGGAUUGAAUUUCCAUGGCAUUAUCUUUUUCUUUUCUGGGUUGAAUUACCUCCGUUUUACAUUACAUGCCUUGGCAAUCUUGAGCUGAUUAUCAUCCUACAUCUCUGUCAUCAACUGUGAACCACAUACUUUCCCUUCACUUCACUCUCUAGUCUCUAUGUUGUGUUAAUACAAAUAUCUGAACAAAGCGUUGAAAAGUGUUCUACUACCACUUCCGGUGCGUUCAUGCAGCAUCCCUUUUGGGACUCCAUAGCAUUUGGGACUCCAUUUGUAUAAUAUAACUUGCUGAAGCAUUUAUUCAAUUGUGUGCAGGUCAGACAUUGGGACACAUGACUUUCAAGACUGUUUUUUGUAGCUGUGAAGUGUGAGAAUCUGAUGCAUGGGUUUGCAAUUUCAGUCACUCCAUCUACCGACUGAACUUUUGAAGUGCAUCUAUAUAGGAUAUGUAGUCCCAUCUAGUAUGGGUAUGUAAUCCUAACAUGACUCGCUUCUAAUUUGGAUCUUCCAUCAGACUUAUCAGUAGUUAUUAGUAUUCUCGUGUGUAACAAUAUUUCAACUGAAUAGAUUACCCUCUAUCUUAAUCGUUUACGCGAUCUCUUGUGGUUUUUCUUAACCGCAUCCAAAGCUUGAUGCUUACAAGCUUUGGAAUAUGGAGAAUGGCCUAAAUUUGCCUUUGCUACUUGUGAAUUCUUUCAUGCUUGUGUCUUUGCUAUUCCACAUUCUAUUGAAAGAUCCUUUAGACAUUGAGAACAGGUCAACUUGCGGAACAUGAUUCACCUUCGAUUAAUCAGGGAUGACACUAAGAAAUUGAUACUAGGAGAGAAAUUUGACAUAUGCUAAGUAUCAGAAGUCUCUCAAUAUACCCUGAAUUGAUUCCCUCAAAGAUUGAUGUGAAAUUGAAAGAAAGAACCAGUAUCAUACUCACUUCAAGCUAAUUUCUCCAAUCUAUGCUAGACUAGCACAUUCUUGCAGCACAAUUCCACACUCUAGCACACGACUUCACUGAUGAGAAACGCGCCAAGCAUAUCAUCAUUCCCCUAUAUACACACUUCAAUAUCCCAACAAGGCUGUUGUAUUGCCAAGUUGGGCUCUUUCAUUACGGACUUUGGUGGUGGUUCAACGGGGCCGUGACUGGAGUAAAGCCCAUAUGCAUUGCAAAUUGCUUUUCGGCUAUGAGACAUCUUACCCACAAGUUGAUUGGUUGGUGUUCAUUUCUGUUUACAUCCUUAAAUAUAUUAUGCAAAACUAUUAAGAUAAAGAUUUUAAACUAAAUAUUUCAAUACUAACCUCACAAUCAAGAAUUUUUGUGAAAAUAUAAUAUUAAACUAAAAUCAAUAAAAUCCAAACAACAACAAUUCUCUACAUCUUUACAUCAAAAAAAAAAAAACAAUUCUCUACAUCUUUUAAAUCAGAUUUGAGAAUAUACAAUGUGGUGGGAUUGUUCGUUCUUAUUUUUAUUUUAUUUAUGGCUUCAAAUGUAGUCUUUCAUAUAUAUAAUCGUAAAGAAGGAAGUCAAUAAAGAGAUCAAGGAGAAUAUAUAUAGGAUGUGGUUUGUGAAUAAAUAGAGGUAUGCGUUAAAUAUAUUGAUGAUAUAUUUUUAUAUUUUAUCAGAUUGAGGAAAAUAAAAUAAAGAAAAUAAAAACCAGAUUUUCUCUCAUAAUUUUGAGGGCAGAAUUAGAACGUUAAAGAUAAAAAAUAAGACGUGGGGUGAACUAAGCAUUUAGUGGGGUGGAAAUAGCCGCACCCUAAAAUAUUUGUAAAAAAUGUUCUAAAAGGUGCUAAAAACCAAGAAUAAGAAAACUCAUUAUUUGUAAAUUAAAGUGCAUAUCUUAAAUCAUUUUUGUCUAAGUAAAAGCAGGCAUGAAUCGAGAAUCUUAAACCACAAUAAUAUCAUACAACAAUUCUCAAAUAGAAAGAUCAUAGCCCCAUAAAUUACAAAAUUUGCUCACUCAUAUCCACCACUAAAGUAAUAUAUGUACAUUGCAUUUGUGUAGAGAACUACUAUAAAUUUAGGAAAAUUCAUACCUGUCCAAACUUUUUGACUGUUAUAUGUACACGUUUGUAAAACAUUGCCAUAUAAAGUGAACGUUGGACAUGCAUUAGAAAAACACAUUCUUCCACACUCUUGACACAAGUCGUCACUGACGAGAAACGCGCCAAGAAGCAUCAUCCCUCUAUAUAUAUGCCCAUCCAUGAACUUCAAUUCCAUAACCAAUCCAAAGCAUACACACCAAAGCUCCCAUUUCCCUCAUCUCCUAAUUCAGACUCUUCAUUUCAUAAGAAAACCCAUCAUCCAAAACCUCCAAAUCAACAGUCCAAACUAGAAGGAUGUCGAAAAUGUUUGCCCUUUCAAAGUUCGAGACUGCCUCAAUAUCAUGGUGGAAGAAGCAUGGAGAUGGAGACGACGACGGUGAUGAUGGAUACGACUAUGCCCCAGCGGCAUCAGCAUGCAUGGAAGGCGACAGCGAUGACGACGAUUCCGACUAUGAUUAUGCUCCGGCGGCCUCUACGGAAGGCGAUGACGACGACGAUGAUGGUGGUUAUGAUUAUGCUCCAGCUGCAUAAGAGCUGUGUAACUAGCAAUUCAGUCGAAAUUGCUUAUAUUAAUUCUUGAUAUGAGAUCGAGUGGCAUUUCUAUCACAGGGUUAUUUGCAAACCCCUAAGUAUUUUCUGACGGCCUUUGUAGCUCGUCAGAUGUUAUAGGGUAUUAUGUAUCAAUUUCUGAUCAGUAAACCUCUGAAUUAUGGUCCUCUACUACUCUAAUUUCGUUUUUUGUUUGAAACUCGAAGAUGCUAAUUAAGUAUUAACAUGAGCAAAUGUGGUUUGUGACACUGUUUCCUUUCAAUGAUCGAAGUCUGUAAUAGUUUCAAGCACACAAUAAGUCUCAUUUCCCUAUCUGCAAGUUUGCUUAAUUAGUGAAAUAGAAAUACUUUACAUGGAUGAUUUGAUCAUCACUUACUAAAUGAAACUACUUGACUAUCAAUUCGAGGAACCUGGAGAAACCAAAUUUGUUCAUAUGCUGUUGUUAUUUUCCAUCUUUCUUGUAAUGGCUCAGCUCACCCCGCACUUGCUUUAUCAUGAUAUUCUCUUCCUUUACCUUUUCAAUUAUAAUUCUAAUGUAUUUCUCUAAGUGGUCACUUUACUUAUCAUCUGCUAUAAACUAAAUUCAAACUUUCUGGGAUUGCUGACGAAGAGCUUAGUAUUCGACGAGCUACUAA